UGGGCCUAAAGCAUCCGUAGCCGGUUGCAUAAGUUUUCGGUUAAAUCUAUGCGCUCAACGUAUAGGCCGCCGAAAAUACUGUGCAGCUAGGGAGUGGGAGAGGUACACGGUACUCAGUAGGAAGGGGUAAAAUCCUUUGAUCUAUUGAUGACCACCUGUGGCGAAGGCGGUGUACCAGAACACGUUCGACGGUGAGGGAUGAAAGCUGGGGGAGCAAACCGGAUUAGAUACCCGGGUAGUCCCAGCUGUAAACGAUGCAGACUCGGUGAUGCAUUGGCUUAUGGCCAGUGCAGUGCCGCAGGGAAGCCGUUAAGUUUGCCGCCUGGGAAGUACGUACGCAAGUAUGAAACUUAAAGGAAUUGGCGGGGGAGCA
RNAcentral lists this ribosomal RNA (373 nucleotides) under uncultured Nitrososphaerota archaeon. RNAcentral describes it as "bacterial SSU rRNA". It matches the Rfam family "Archaeal small subunit ribosomal RNA", at positions 505 to 878 of the family's 1478-position model. Lineage: Archaea; Thermoproteati; Nitrososphaerota. The record is from RNAcentral.